Phascolarctos cinereus (koala) is the source of this 822-nucleotide long non-coding RNA. The record is from Ensembl. NCBI's taxonomy places the organism in Eukaryota, Metazoa, Chordata, Mammalia, Diprotodontia, Phascolarctidae.
AUGGCCAGUGCUUAUCACUGGGAAGCCCGGAGAAGACAGAUGGCUCUAGACCGGAGAAGACACUACCAGCUUCAACAGGAAAUGAAGAACAAAAAGAUAGAGAAUGACCUGGAGGAACAAAGAUACUGCAUGGGGCUUGAACCCUAUCAGCGGUAUCACUCUCUGAGCCCUGAGCGCGAAUACGUGUAUGGCGACAGGAGCCCGGAGACCUCCCAUCGGAACCUGGGGGCGUACAUCACUGGAGAAUCUCCAGAAGACUCAAGAGGCGGCUACGUGUUUCCUGAACUCCCGACGGUGGGCCACUGCAUGUGCCAAUGCCAGUGUCACUUCCAAGGUCAGGGCCACCAUCAGAGCAGGAGCCACGUCCAGGAUGAAGAACAGGACGAGGAGCAGGAUGAAGUCCAGGACUUGGGCCAGAGCAAGAGUCGGGACCGGAACCGAGACCGGGACCUAUGCCAGAGCAAAAGCCAGCGCCACACCAAGAGCCAGAUCCGGGACCGGGAACAGAGCAAGAGCCAGCGCCAGAGCAAAGACCAAGGUCACACUGGACACCAUACUGGUCACCACCAUCACAAAAUUCAUACCUUGGGUUACCAGCAAGCUGCUCAUCACUCCCAAGAGCCCAGACACAAUGCCCCAGACACUCUUCGCCAUCCCAAACGUGGAAAGAGAUACACGGUAAGAACGGGACAGAGAAUGAGUGUGAGAAUGAAUUGUGAAGAGUGCUGGAUUUGGAGUUCAAAUCUGCACUCUACCGCUAUGAUUUGUGUGACCCUGGGCAGAUCAUUCAACCUCUCUGGGCCCCAGUUCCUUCACCUAUAA